This 429-nucleotide ribosomal RNA is filed under the name bacterium. RNAcentral describes it as "partial 16S ribosomal RNA". It matches the Rfam family "Bacterial small subunit ribosomal RNA", at positions 355 to 776 of the family's 1533-position model. The record is from RNAcentral.
UAGGGAAUCUUCGGCAAUGGGGGCAACCCUGACCGACCAACGCCGCGUGAGUGAAGAAGUUUUUCGGAUCGUAAAGCUCUGUUUUAAGAAAAGAACGUGUGUGAGAGUGGAAAGUUCACACAGUGACGGUAACUUACCAGAAAGGGACGGCUAACUACGUCCCAGCAGCCCCGGUAAUACGUAGUUCCCGAGCGUUGUCCGGAUUUAUUGGGCGUAAAGCGAGCGCAGGCGGUUUAAUAAGUCUGAAGUUAAAGGCAGUGGCUUAACCAUUGUUCGCUUUGGAAACUGUUAAACUUGAGUGCAGAAGGGGAGAGUGGAAUUCCAUGUGUAGCGGUGAAAUGCGUAGAUAUAUGGAGGAACACCGGUGGCGAAAGCGGCUCUCUGGUCUGUAACUGACGCUGAGGCUCGAAAGCGUGGGGAGCAAACAGG